This 72-nucleotide transfer RNA is filed under the name Camelus bactrianus (Bactrian camel). It matches the Rfam family "tRNA". From Rfam's summary of the family: Transfer RNA (tRNA) molecules are approximately 80 nucleotides in length. Their secondary structure includes four short double-helical elements and three loops (D, anti-codon, and T loops). The record is from Rfam by way of RNAcentral. Lineage: Eukaryota; Metazoa; Chordata; Mammalia; Artiodactyla; Camelidae. RNAcentral also lists the same sequence under 2 other names.
GAGGGUAUAUCUCAGUGGUACAGUGUGUGCUUAGCAUGCAGGAGGUCCUGGGUUCAAUUCCCAGCACCUCCA